GCCACUGAUCCCCUUCUACAUAGAGUGUAAGUGGCAUUUGCAGCAGAGUCUCAAGCAGGAACAUCAAAACGAAAUCUUUUUUUAAUUUUUCAGGUCCUUGAUUAUUCCCUAUGGCCCUAGAGGAUAGUCUACGCAGAAGGCUAAAUGAGAUCUUUGCCCAUUUGACGUUUUAUAACCAGCAUGGUUUUAGUCCUGCUUAGCAACUUCUUGUAGCAGAAUCCAGGAUAUCAUCUGCUACUGCUGGCUAUCAAAUCUCAAGCUGCUCUCCUGCAGGGUAGAUGAUCAGCGACCUGCAGGACGCAGUCAUCAGCGGCCAUCCUUGGAACCUAGGAUUCCAUGGACUGCAAGGAAUAUGGCACCCAGUUCUGCAGGCUGUACAAGCAUGGCACCAGCAUCUACUCAGCUCCUAAUGAGGCCUAAUGAAGAUUUUACUCAUGGCAGAAUGUGAAGCAGGAGCAAUCAUGUCACCGGGCAAGAGAAGGAGCAAGCAAGAAAGGGAAGGUGGCUCUGACUGCUGGAGUGAAACUUCACAGAGUUAUGUGCACUCUGGGGUAGGGAAGAUGGAGCAGGUAAGAAUUCAUGUAAUCAUCCCAUAAGAUGGCUGAAAGAGUUUUAUAUGGUCUCCAUUUGGGUCCCACAGUUAGAAAAAUAAAUGUCUCAGAAUUCAGAAUUCAUAAACUAGACAAGCAGAGUGGAGAUGGAGUCCCUUGACAGUAUGGGGUCUGCUAUGGUUUGAAGGUUUCAAUGUGUUCCCCAGAGUUCAUUCGUCAGAAACUUAAUCCCCAAUGAUACAAUGUUGAGGGAAAGGGCUUUUAAGAAGUGAUGAGGUCAUGAGGGUUCUGCCCUUGUGAAUAAAUUAAUGUCCUUAUGGUGGGAGUGAAUUCCUGAUUAAAAAAAAAAAAAGAAUUCUUCCCCCUUCUUCUUUCUCUCAUCCUCUCUCAACCUCUGGCCUUCUUUCACAGGAAAGCACAGCAAGAUAUUCUUGCCUGAUGCCAGCACCUUGGUAUCCAAAUUUCUAGCUUUCAGAAUUCUGAAAUAAACUUAUUCUCCUUUUAAGACUCCCAAUUUUUCAUAUUCUGUUACAGCAACACAAAAUGGGCUAAGACAAGGCCCAUUACAACAACACAGGAUGCAGGCAUCAGACCCAGGAGGUAAAGAAGAGUUGUGCCGAGAGAAUAGCAGAAACUGAGGAGGAAAAGAAAGGCAACAGUUAGACUGUGAAGGGCCCUAAGUGCUACAUUAAUAUGUUUAAUUUUUUUUCUGACAGCUUUGAAGAUUAUUGAGAUAUUAUAAGCUGAAAAAUACCCUGUGUAUUUUUCUGUUGUUGUUAUUUUGUGUUGUUUUAAAUUACUUUGUCUUUUAUGAGAAGAGUGAAUUAGAGGGAAGCCCGUGGUCCUCAAUAGUGACAAUAGUGAUAGCCUGAAUUUUAAAACUCAUAGCAGAGAGGUAGUAAAGGAGGGACAGGCUACAUAUAGUUAACAGUAGAUUCAGCAGCACAUUAUGGAUAGAUUAAUUACAUAACUAAUUAGAUAUUGGCUAGUCAGAAGGAAGAGACUACAUUGAUUCUCAAAUGUCUGCCAUAGAUACCUAGAGAAUGGAAUCACGACUAGCACAAUGGAUACUAAGGAACAACCAACCAACCCUGGAGAAAAAGGAGGUGAGAACGUUUUGGACAGGGAUUUCACAUACUAUAGAUGUCCAAUUAGCCUGAUUAAUGAUCAGUUAGAUAUGCUGUGUUAUAGAUCUCCCAACAAAUCUGAACCAAAUUAGAAAUAAAAUCAGAAAGGAAAAAUCCUGCAGGCAGGCCAUGGCUUCACAAGGCGGAGGAUGUGUACUUCACAAGGUAAUAUCGCUCUGCUGACUUCAUCGCAAUCGGAUAUCUGUUUCUCAAUGUCAGUGGCCCAUAAAAGCAAUUUCUUUAGGAUCCCAAAAUUAAUGAGACUAAAAAGUGAUGACUCACACUAAUAAAACUUCAGAGAAACCAAUGUAUAACAAAGGAAGGUAAGUGCAUAAUGCUCUUGAAAAAAAAAGACAGAAAAUAACGAUCAAAUACAGUAAAUACUCAUUAACCUACCUUUUUAGUCCUCCUUAUUUUUCGGUUUCAAGGGAUGGUAGUUAGUCAAAAGCUUUCUCAAGAAACAGAGAAUCAGAAUACACAUAAUUCCAUGCAGUGGGAAUAAAUAUAAUAGUAAAAACUUGUCUACCACUAAAACACACUUGCUAGAAUGGUCAACAUC
This is a long non-coding RNA of Callithrix jacchus (white-tufted-ear marmoset), 2237 nucleotides long. The record is from Ensembl. Lineage: Eukaryota; Metazoa; Chordata; Mammalia; Primates; Cebidae.